CAAGCGUUGUCCGGAAUCAUUGGGCGUAAAGAGCGCGUAGGCGGCCCUGUAAGUCCGCUGUGAAAGUCAAGGGCUCAACCCUUGAAUGCCGGUGGAUACUGCAGGGCUAGAGUCCGGAAGAGGCGAGUGGAAUUCCUGGUGUAGCGGUGAAAUGCGCAGAUAUCAGGAGGAACACCGAUGGCGAAGGCAGCUCGCUGGGACGGUACUGACGCUGAGGCGCGAAAGCGUGGGGAGCAAACAGG
RNAcentral lists this ribosomal RNA (242 nucleotides) under uncultured bacterium. RNAcentral describes it as "partial 16S ribosomal RNA". It matches the Rfam family "Bacterial small subunit ribosomal RNA", at positions 535 to 776 of the family's 1533-position model. The record is from RNAcentral.